RNAcentral lists this ribosomal RNA (490 nucleotides) under uncultured bacterium. Its description in RNAcentral is "partial 16S ribosomal RNA". It matches the Rfam family "Bacterial small subunit ribosomal RNA", at positions 29 to 507 of the family's 1533-position model. The record is from RNAcentral.
AGUGAACGCUGGCGGCAGGCCUAAUACAUGCAGGUCGAACGGCAGCACAGCAGAGCUUGCUCUGUGGGUGGCGAGUGGCGGACGGGUGAGGAAUACAUGGGAAUCUGCCCAGUCGUGGGGGAUAACGUAUGGAAACGUACGCUAAUACCGCAUGCGCCCUUUGGGGGAAAGCCGGGGACCUUCGGGCCUGGCGCGAUUGGAUGAGCCCAUGUUCGAUUAGCUAGUUGGCGGGGUAAAGGCCCACCAAGGCGACGAUCGAUAGCUGGUCUGAGAGGAUGAUCAGCCACACUGGGACUGAGACACGGCCCAGACUCCUACGGGAGGCAGCAGUAGGGAAUAUUGGACAAUGGGCGCAAGCCUGAUCCAGCCAUGCCGCGUGAGUGAAGAAGGCCCUCGGGUUGUAAAGCUCUUUUGUCCGGAAAGAAAAGCAUUCGGUUAAUACCCGGGUGUUCUGACGGUACCGGAAGAAUAAGCACCGGCUAACUUCGUG